ACAUGUCAUUUUUCAUAUCAUACCCUUUAUCGACCCUCGUUCAUGAUAUCAGCCCUCGAGCCCAAGGCUUUUGGACUGAUAUCAUGACCUAGGGCCGAUAAAGGGUCUGAUAUGAAAAAUGCCAUGUAAUAAUC
Molecule: small RNA, 134 nt
Filed under: Mytilus galloprovincialis (Mediterranean mussel)
Lineage: Eukaryota; Metazoa; Mollusca; Bivalvia; Mytilida; Mytilidae
Source: RNAcentral